Molecule: transfer RNA, 69 nt
Filed under: Rattus norvegicus (Norway rat)
Lineage: Eukaryota; Metazoa; Chordata; Mammalia; Rodentia; Muridae
Rfam family: tRNA
About the family: Transfer RNA (tRNA) molecules are approximately 80 nucleotides in length. Their secondary structure includes four short double-helical elements and three loops (D, anti-codon, and T loops).
Source: Rfam by way of RNAcentral
GGGGAUUUAGCUCAGUGGUAGAGCGCUUGCUUAGGAAGCGAAAGGCCCUGGGUUCGGUCCCCAGCUCCG